GAUGAACGCUGGCGGCGUGCCUAAUACAUGCAAGUCGAGCGAACAGAUGAGGAGCUUGCUCCUCUGACGUUAGCGGCGGACGGGUGAGUAACACGUGGAUAACCUACCUAUAAGACUGGGAUAACUUCGGGAAACCGGAGCUAAUACCGGAUAAUAUAUUGAACCGCAUGGUUCAAUAGUGAAAGACGGUUUUGCUGUCACUUAUAGAUGGAUCCGCGCCGCAUUAGCUAGUUGGUAAGGUAGCGGCUUACCAAGGCAACGAUGCGUAGCCGACCUGAGAGGGUGAUCGGCCACACUGGAACUGAGACACGGUCCAGACUCCUACGGGAGGCAGCAGUAGGGAAUCUUCCGCAAUGGGCGAAAGCCUGGCGGAGCAACGCCGCGUGAGUGAUGAAGGUCUUCGGAUCGUAAAACUCUGUUAUUAGGGAAGAACAAAUGUGUAAGUAACUAUGCACGUCUUGACGGUACCUAAUCAGAAAGCCACGGCUAACUACGU
RNAcentral lists this ribosomal RNA (496 nucleotides) under uncultured bacterium. RNAcentral describes it as "partial 16S ribosomal RNA". It matches the Rfam family "Bacterial small subunit ribosomal RNA", at positions 28 to 506 of the family's 1533-position model. The record is from RNAcentral.